AUUGAACGCUAGCGGGAUGCCUUACACAUGCAAGUCGAACGGAGUGGCGAACGGGUGCGUAAUGUAUCGGAACGUGCCCAUUAGCGGGGGAUAACUACGCCGACGCGUAGCUAAUACCGCAUCCUCUUGGAGCGGCCGAUAUCGGAUUAGCUAGUUGGUGGGGUAACGGCUCACCAAGGCGACGAUCCGUAGCUGGUUUGAGAGGACGACCAGCCACACUGGGACUGAGACACGGCCCAGACUCCUACGGGAGGCAGCAGUGGGGAAUUUUGAACAAUGGGCGAAAGCCUGAUCCAGCCAUCCCGCGUGUGCGAUGAAGGCCUUCGGGUUGUAAAGCACUUUUGGCAGGAAGGCGGUACCUGCAGAAUAAGCACCGGCUAACUACGUGCCAGCAGCCGCGGUAAUAC
Molecule: ribosomal RNA, 407 nt
Filed under: uncultured bacterium
Lineage: Bacteria
Description: partial 16S ribosomal RNA
Rfam family: Bacterial small subunit ribosomal RNA
Source: RNAcentral